CUCUAUUGCAAAUUGUUCAGUGGAAAAGUGGCUACUUCCGUUUUAAUUGCCGAAGAGCUUGAUUGUAUUUUUCUUGUGUGGAAUAGAGUUGGAAAAAAGUGAUAACGUUAUUAAAGUGAAGUUAAUAAUUUGUGGAUUGAUCUAACAGGCCUAAGAAAAGAAUACUACAAAACACACCCAGGCAAUUAUGGUCGGCUCAAGAGUUUACGUCGGUGGAUUGCCGUAUGGAGUUCGUGAAAGAGAUUUGGAGCGGUUUUUUAAAGGUUAUGGACGAACGCGAGAUAUAUUGUUAAAAAAUGGAUAUGGCUUCGUGGAAUUCGAAGAUUACAGAGAUGCGGAUGAUGCAGUGUAUGAGUUAAAUGGGAAAGAAUUGUUAGGAGAAAGAGUUGUUGUCGAACCUGCAAGAGGUACAGCUCGUGGUGGUCAUAGAGACCGGUAUGACGAUCGAUAUGGUGGGCGCCGCGGUGGUGGUGGUCGUUAUAAUGACAAAUCAUCCUCCCGUUAUGGACCGCCGUUACGAACAGAGUACCGUCUAAUUGUGGAGAAUUUAUCGAGCCGCGUUAGUUGGCAGAAAUGCCACUAAUGGGUUGACUGACAGAUCAUCACCUUGGUUGAAAGAUGAAGCUAAGAGUCUUUAUUUGAGAAGAAUUUAUGUGAACUGUUUAUGAGUACAAGUGCAAUUAACCCGCUUGGCUUGGCUGGCUGCUCACUUGAAAACUCAUGCGACCUCCCUAAUUUUAAUGCGGGAAAGGCGGCCAUUGCAGUGUGAAAGAUAUAUAAGGACUCAUCCUAAUUGCAAUCACUUACAAUACCAAUUGUUAAAAGAGACUAAACUCGGACAUGAAGGCACAUGAACAAAAAUGCCAUUCUUGGAGGUAGAUUGUUAACAUUCAUCCGGUUCCUGAGAUGGUCAUGAUGUUGUUUCUUUAAUGCGACCGAAUGCAAAAACGAAUUUGGGAAUAAUUCGCUUCUAAUAAAUUUUUUGGGCUUCGAGCAAGGAAAAAUAAACAACCACAUCCACCACUUAAAAAAUGUUUAGCCAGGACGUUGGAGCACUCACAGAGAUAGGGUUAAAAACAUCUUUAAUAUAAAAAUAACGGUAGAAGAAUCGUGACAGAUGUCAGAGCAACCUAAUGAAGGCACAUGAGCUGAAGAAGCGGACAAGAAACGCAAUUAUUCGAUAUAUCAUUUUCUGCCUUUGUAAUUAUAUAGUUCGAUGUCUGGUGCAUAUGAAAUUUUUAAAUGUACAAACUGAAAGCGCUGGUUUUUUAAAAUUAGCGUAUAGCGAUUGCAAAAUAAUCACAGAGUGUCGUACCAACGUAGAGCCUGUCGGACAAACCUUCCGAACGAUUGCGAUUACGAAUGGUGUGCGAGUGGGGCCAUAGAGCUUCUAAUGCUCCUAAUGACGCUUCUGACGGCUUCAGUAAACGUGCUUCCCAGGCUUUCAUAUGCUCUGACUAUGGCUAUAAAAUCUGUUCCUUGUCCAAAAAUUAGCGACGUGCAAAAGAUGUCCUAUAACUGGUCUACUGCUUAGGUGGUACUUAAUGUAGAACAUCGAUGUCGUCGACUGAACCGUAUCUAACCGGCCUACCAAUAGUUCUUUCUGGUGAUGAGGGACCGUAGAAAAUAUCAGCAAACCAACAGUCAAACCUAGAUGCGAUGUUGAUGGGUGGUGGCAGUCAAGAGAGUGCAUCAUCAUACCUCCAUUCUGGAGGUCUGAACUCAUUUCCCUUUAUUUACAGUAGAAGAAACAUUAUUUCCGAAAAGGCAUAACUGGUUUCCGAUGUCUUAUGGCGGCCCUAAUCUAAGCCACUUAUAGAUUGGGUUCUCUUGUUCGCAUGUGCAACAACGCAACGAGGCACACUUAUAAAAAUUGCUACCGGAAGUCCUUUUUUAUAGCGAGUAUACACUUGAGUGACGUACCUAUGUGCUUGCAGAGUCUGUGUUCAGAUGCUUCUCUUCAAGAAGUAAUAAUGAUUCGACCAAACCGUUAUCGUCCGCAUAGUCACACUAGAGUUAUCUUUGCGACCCACAAUGUCUACGUGAGAUAAGCGUGCGAAAUUUCACAAAAGAUGGUAGACGAGGUGCAUAUAUUUACGUAUUCGUUGGAUGUAACUAAUUAUGCGACUUAACUUGAGCAUUUGAAUAGUGCCAAUUUGCCGAGAUUUUAUACACUUGAAAAAAUUUCGAACACACAUCUGAGGGUCCUAUGCGCCACAUACCAUAUGCAACCGCUGCCUACGUUGAUCACGCUUUAUAUUGAGGUCACAAAUACAUUUGAUAUACAGUGAAAGUAUUACUGACAAAAAGCGACUUUGUUGAUGUGAUAUUAA
This is an RNA transcript of Bactrocera dorsalis (oriental fruit fly), 2333 nucleotides long. It is a transcript of the gene named serine-arginine protein 55, with no coding region annotated. The record is from RefSeq and is a predicted model, not a curated record. Lineage: Eukaryota; Metazoa; Arthropoda; Insecta; Diptera; Tephritidae. The transcript is spliced from 7 exons.